This 498-nucleotide ribosomal RNA is filed under the name uncultured bacterium. RNAcentral describes it as "partial 16S ribosomal RNA". It matches the Rfam family "Bacterial small subunit ribosomal RNA", at positions 29 to 523 of the family's 1533-position model. The record is from RNAcentral.
AUUGAACGCUGGCGGCAUGCCUUACACAUGCAAGUCGAACGGUAACGCGGGGCAACCUGGCGACGAGUGGCGAACGGGUGAGUAAUGCAUCGGAACGUGCCCAGAAGUGGGGGAUAGCCCGGCGAAAGCCGGAUUAAUACCGCAUGAGACCUGAGGGUGAAAGCGGGGGAUCGCAAGACCUCGCGCUUUUGGAGCGGCCGAUGUCAGAUUAGCUAGUUGGUGGGGUAAAGGCCUACCAAGGCGACGAUCUGUAGCUGGUCUGAGAGGACGACCAGCCACACUGGGACGGGUACACGGCCCAGACUCCUACGGGAGGCAGCAGUGGGGAAUUUUGGACAAUGGGCGCAAGCCUGAUCCAGCCAUGCCGCGUGCGGGAAGAAGGCCUUCGGGUUGUAAACCGCUUUUGUCAGGGAAGAAACGCUCUGGGCUAAUACCCUGGGGUAAUGACGGUACCUGAAGAAUAAGCACCGGCUAACUACGUGCCAGCAGCCGCCGUAA